Long non-coding RNA from Dendronephthya gigantea, 740 nucleotides. RefSeq lists it as uncharacterized. NCBI's taxonomy places the organism in Eukaryota, Metazoa, Cnidaria, Anthozoa, Malacalcyonacea, Nephtheidae. The record is from RefSeq and is a predicted model, not a curated record. The transcript is spliced from 3 exons.
UCAUAUAAAUACCGUUGCAAAUCAUUGUCAACUCAUUAGUUCAAGAGAGAACAAGUUUGGAUAUUGAUUCCUUGAAGCAAGAUUCUGUAUAAGUGCUCAAUAAUGUCUCGUAGCAUUUUCGCCGUAUUUUUGUUCGGUCUGGCUGCCAUCGUUGGUGUUAAAGGCGAUUGUCAGGGGGAGGGCGCUGGUUGUUCUGUUUUUUAUCCGUGUUGUGAUGGUCUCCAAUGUGAGGCUGGCGCCCACGUUUGCCGCAGGCCAGGGAAGGAGGGUGAACGCUGCCACUUGACCCGACACUGUGGAAAGGGACUCUACUGUCGUCCAUUGUACCAUACCUGCCAGCGUAUGGGUAACAUUGGCGAGAAAUGUGUCUCCGGAUUCAACAGCGCUGAAGGUCGUCGAUGUAACUACCAGAAAAAGUUAUGGUGCGACCCCUUCAGUCGCACCUGUCUCCCUCCCUCGGGCAGAGGGAACGUCUGUGGAUAUUUGGGAGAAAAGGAGGACAGUGGGAAUUGCCAGGCAGGAUUGAGGUGCCAGUGUGACGCGGCGUGCUCGAUCCGAAAUCUUCUGAGGGAUCUCCAGGGAGCGCUAAGUGGAGUUGCUCAGACCAUCCAAGACCUGAUUGGCAAAAAGAAGUUUUGCUGCAAAUGUGUGUAAGACUUGGAUCUUAUUUCCGUAUGUUUAUUAAAUGCAGUGUAAAGCUUUCAAUAAACAAAGACAUAAUGCAAAAAAUAUCAUGGACA